RNAcentral lists this ribosomal RNA (862 nucleotides) under uncultured bacterium. RNAcentral's name for it is "bacterial SSU rRNA". It matches the Rfam family "Bacterial small subunit ribosomal RNA", at positions 1 to 847 of the family's 1533-position model. The record is from RNAcentral.
CCCUUAGAGUUUGAUCCUGGCUCAGAGCGAACGUUAGCGGCGCGCUUAACACAUGCAAGUCGCACGAGAAAGGGCUUCGGCCCCGGUACAGUGGCGCACGGGUGAGUAACACGUGGGUGACCUUCCCAGCAGUGGUGGAUAACCUGCCGAAAGGCGGGCUAAUACGGCAUACGACGGCGGCGCUGCGGCGCCGUCGUGAAAGCGGGCCUCUCUACAGAAGCUCGCGCUGCCGGCUGGGCCCGCGUCCCAUCAGCUAGUUGGUGCGGUAACGGCGCACCAAGGCGACGACGGGUAGCUGGUCUGAGAGGAUGGCCAGCCACACUGGAACUGAGACACGGUCCAGACUCCUACGGGAGGCAGCAGUGGGGAAUCUUGCGCAAUGGGCGAAAGCCUGACGCAGCGACGCCGCGUGGGCGACGAAGGCCUUCGGGUUGUAAAGCCCUGUGGGGCGGGACGAACCCGCCCGGCGCGAACAGCGCCGGGCGCUGACGGUACCGCCUUAGCAAGCACCGGCUAACUCUGUGCCAGCAGCCGCGGUAAGACAGAGGGUGCAAACGUUGCUCGGAAUUACUGGGCGUAAAGCGCGUGUAGGCGGUGCCGCACGUCGGGUGUGAAAGCCCAGGGCUCAACCCUGGAAGGGCACUCGAUACGACGGCGCUGGAGUCCUGAAGAGGAGAGCGGAAUUCCCGGUGUAGAGGUGAAAUUCGUAGAUAUCGGGAGGAACACCAGUGGCGAAGCGGCUCUCUGGACAGGUACUGACGCUGAGACGCGAAAGCGUGGGUAGCAAACAGAUUAGAUACCCUGGUAGUCCACGCCGUAAACGAUGAGAACUGGGUGUCGCGGUAUUGACCCCCGCGGUGCC